AUGGGUGGGAGGAGGCCAGAAAGGAUGUCAUGGGGGGUGCUACUUCUUCAGUGAGUCCAUUUUGAUUGCAGAUCUGAAGAGAUUUCUUCAAAAUGGCAAGUAAGGUGAUUUAUGCAGAGGUAUCACCUGGGGAAAGAGUGCAUUUUACUUCACAGACUGCAGAUGCAGGUGAACAGAUCACGUACGCUGAGGUGAAAAGGAGGCGGAAAUCUGACACACCGGACAGUAUACCGAAGACUACAUAUCAAACGGCCUGCUCUGAGAACGCGCACUGGUGUUACAUUGCCAUCAUCCUGUACUUCUUCGCAGUGAUUCUAUUCAUCACUGUGAUCCUCUUAGCAAAGGAAUGUGGGAUUUGAAACGAAUGAUGUGGUUCAGCUGACAAAUGGGGAAAGUCAGAUCAGAAAGGCUCUGCUUCUUCAACAAAACAAGACAAAAUGCUUGCUAUAAUGUUAUUUCCUCUGCAUAGACUUCUAUGGAAGAAGACAUGCCAACCGUUUGACCACUCUUCAGUUACUUCUUCCAGGAUUUUCUUGAAACCUUUAACCUCUCUAUAUAUGGGCAAAAUAUAUUAUUGAUAUAAUACUACCAGCAAUCGCCACAUGGUAUCAGCGCACGUAACAAGGUACUGGCUCAAGCUACUGCAUCAUUAGUUGGACCUAUGUCUUGUCUACACAACACAAAUGACCAGGAGAACCCAUUUGAAACAUCACUUUUAUUUCGUGCAUGACUUGAUUUUACAGUAAUCUGUCGUGUAGAUAACCUUUUAGAUUUUGAUACGGUCAAGGGCAAAAAUGCAUGGAUAAAAUAGAGAAUGUGAAUGGUUGCACUAAACUUUUUUUUAUGAGGUCCA
Molecule: long non-coding RNA, 853 nt
Organism: Numida meleagris (helmeted guineafowl)
Lineage: Eukaryota; Metazoa; Chordata; Aves; Galliformes; Numididae
Exons: 4
Source: RefSeq, a predicted model, not a curated record